This 262-nucleotide ribosomal RNA is filed under the name Streptomyces tirandamycinicus. RNAcentral describes it as "partial 23S ribosomal RNA". It matches the Rfam family "Bacterial large subunit ribosomal RNA", at positions 457 to 704 of the family's 2925-position model. The record is from RNAcentral. Lineage: Bacteria; Bacillati; Actinomycetota; Actinomycetes; Kitasatosporales; Streptomycetaceae.
CCGCUAAGCCUAAAUAUUCCCUGGUGACCGAUAGCGGAUAGUACCGUGAGGGAAUGGUGAAAAGUACCGCGGGAGCGGAGUGAAAUAGUACCUGAAACCGUGUGCCUACAAGCCGUGGGAGCGUCGGGCGUGCCUUUUGGGGUGCGUCUCGUGACUGCGUGCCUUUUGAAGAAUGAGCCUGCGAGUUAGCGGUGUGUAGCGAGGUUAACCCGUGUGGGGAAGCCGUAGCGAAAGCGAGUCCGAAGAGGGCGUUUGAGUUGCA